UGCCAUGCCCGUGUCAAACCCCAUGAGCUCCUGCUGCCUGUGCACGUCUCGCUCCAUCCCGUCUCUCUGCGGGCAGCCUGCGGUCCGCGCAAAUCCGGCCGCGGCUCAGGGCGGGCGGGCGGCUGCCCCCACUCCUCCCGGGGCCGCGGAGCUCCGCCGGCCGCCCGCCGCUCAGCCCCGCCGCCGCCCGGGGGCUGCGGGCCGCCCCGCCGC
Molecule: long non-coding RNA, 213 nt
Filed under: Gallus gallus (chicken)
Lineage: Eukaryota; Metazoa; Chordata; Aves; Galliformes; Phasianidae
Source: RNAcentral